AUUGAACGCUGGCGGCAGGCCUAACACAUGCAAGUCGAGCGGAUGAAGGGAGCUUGCUCCUGGAUUCAGCGGCGGACGGGUGAGUAAUGCCUAGGAAUCUGCCUGGUAGUGGGGGAUAACGUCCGGAAACGGGCGCUAAUACCGCAUACGUCCUGAGGGAGAAAGUGGGGGAUCUUCGGACCUCACGCUAUUAGAUGAGCCUAGGUCGGAUUAGCUAGUUGGUGGGGUAAAGGCCUACCAAGGCGACGAUCCGUAACUGGUCUGAGAGGAUGAUCAGUCACACUGGAACUGAGACACGGUCCAGACUCCUACGGGAGGCAGCAGUGGGGAAUAUUGGACAAUGGGCGAAAGCCUGAUCCAGCCAUGCCGCGUGUGUGAAGAAGGUCUUCGGAUUGUAAAGCACUGUUAGUUGGGAAGAAGGGCAGUAAGUUAAUACCUGGCUGUUUUGACGUUACCAACAGAAUAAGCACCGGCUAACUUCGUG
This 484-nucleotide ribosomal RNA is filed under the name uncultured bacterium. RNAcentral's name for it is "partial 16S ribosomal RNA". It matches the Rfam family "Bacterial small subunit ribosomal RNA", at positions 30 to 507 of the family's 1533-position model. The record is from RNAcentral.